This 1122-nucleotide long non-coding RNA is filed under the name Numida meleagris (helmeted guineafowl). RNAcentral describes it as "lncRNA (ENSNMEG00000013785.1)". Lineage: Eukaryota; Metazoa; Chordata; Aves; Galliformes; Numididae. The record is from RNAcentral.
AUGGGGAGGGCGCGAGUGUACCGGGGGGGCUGGCCGUGGGGCUGGCAGCCCGCCCUGCCCGGGUACGUGGCUGAGUGCUGCUCGUGCAGAAUUUUGCAGCUGCAGAGCUGGUGCCGCGAGCACCGCGCAGGCAGACAUCAGAGAGGAGCGCUAACAGAUUCCCUGUUAUCUCUGCCCAUUGACAGCUCAAUUAGAGGCAGAGAAAUGGCAAACGGGGAGAAAACAGACGUUCUCCCUAGAGGAGGAGGGCACAGCAGGGGAGGGGGUGACGUCUGGUGGCAUGGGGCCCUUGCAGGGCAGAAGGGCAGCAAGCCCUUCCUCUGCACCUGCAGAAACACCGGCGCUGCAAAAAGCAGUGGGUGCAGAGCCUCAGCAGUGUGCACUCACAGAUCUGGGGAUGCUCAGAUCUACUUCUGGGGUUGCACAUAUCCACACCUGGGGAUGUGUGCACCUCUGCUGGCAUACGUGCAUACUCAAGUGUGUCCUAGGAUGCCCCCACACCCAGGUCCCUUUCCCACACUGCUUGUCACACUGUAUCACCACUCACCUCCUGCCUGGCAAUGGCCGUGCCAGUUGCCAUGGCAAUGUCUCGCCUGUGGAGAGAUGAGGUUCACUCUCCCACGCAAUGGAGAGGGGCCGAGAGCGUCUGGGGGGGCACAGCUGUCCCUGACACCCCCAUGUGUAUGCCCUGGGCUGUGCCCACCUGUGUUCCCCUCGUGGGAGCUGGGCUGGGUGGGAAGGGGCCAUGGCUGGUGGCUGUCCCCUGGGGCUGUGACACUGGGUGUCCCCUUGGUGCUCAGUGCUGGGCCUUUCUUGUGGGCUCCAGCUGCCCCACAAGGCACAGACCCACUACCUGCAGCACAAGAGGUCAUGUCGCAGAGUGUCCCCUGCUGGGAUGUCCUCAUCCCAUCAGCACGUCCCAGCCAUGUUGCUCCAGAGCACCCCUUGCCUGGUGCCCAGGAUUCCACGGUGCCCCCACCCCCACACAGCCCCUGGCCCCUCCUCUUUGCCGCCAGCCCCUCCAGGCCUUGCCAGACCUCCUGCCAGAUGCCCCACUGUGGGCUUUCCAGCUGUAACCAGAUGGCCCUUCUCCAUCUGCUGAGCCUGGGGGGCUAUUUUUAG